This 70-nucleotide transfer RNA is filed under the name Marmota marmota marmota (Alpine marmot). It matches the Rfam family "tRNA". Rfam says of the family: Transfer RNA (tRNA) molecules are approximately 80 nucleotides in length. Their secondary structure includes four short double-helical elements and three loops (D, anti-codon, and T loops). The record is from Rfam by way of RNAcentral. RNAcentral also lists the same sequence under 1 other name. Lineage: Eukaryota; Metazoa; Chordata; Mammalia; Rodentia; Sciuridae.
GUGGCUGUGGCUCAGUGUAGAGUGCUUGCCUUGCAUGUGUGGGGCACUGGGUUUGAUUCUCAGCACCACA